CCUACGGGAGGCAGCAGUGAGGAAUAUUGGUCAAUGGACGAGAGUCUGAACCAGCCAAGUAGCGUGAAGGAUGACUGCCCUAUGGGUUGUAAACUUCUUUUAUAAAGGAAUAAAACGAGGCACGUGUGCCUUUUUGCAUGUACUUUAUGAAUAAGGAUCGGCUAACUCCGUGCCAGCAGCCGCGGUAAUACGGAGGAUCCGAGCGUUAUCCGGCUUUAUUGGGUUUAAAGGGAGCGUAGAUGGGUUGUUAAGUCAGUUGUGAAAGUUUGCGGCUCAACCGUAAAAUUGCAAUUGAUACUGGCAGUCUUGAGUACAGAUGAGGUAUGCGGAAGUCGUGGUGUAGCGGUGAAAUGCGUAGAGACCACGAAGAACCCCGAUUGCGAAGGCAGCUUACUAAACUGUGACUGACAUUGAUGCUCGAAAGUGUGGGGAGCAAACAGGAGUAGAGACCACAGUAGUC
Molecule: ribosomal RNA, 460 nt
Filed under: uncultured bacterium
Lineage: Bacteria
Description: partial 16S ribosomal RNA
Rfam family: Bacterial small subunit ribosomal RNA
Source: RNAcentral